GACGAACGCUGGCGGCGUGCCUAACACAUGCAAGUCGAGCGGGGAACAGAUGGUAGCUUGCUACUGUUUGUUUCUAGCGGCGGACGGGUGAGUAACGCGUGAGCAACCUGCCUUUAUCAGGGGGAUAACGCAUCGAAAGAUGUGCUAAUACCGCGUAAGACCACAGCUUCACAUGGAGCGGGGGUCAAAGGAGCAAUCCGGAUAAAGAUGGGCUCGCGUCCGAUUAGCUAGUUGGUGAGAUAACAGCCCACCAAGGCGACGAUCGGUAGCCGACCUGAGAGGGUGAUCGGCCACAUUGGAACUGAGAGACGGUCCAGACUCCUACGGGAGGCAGCAGUGGGGAAUAUUGGGCAAUGGGCGAAAGCCUGACCCAGCAACGCCGCGUGAGGGAAGAAGGGUUUCGGCUCGUAAACCUCUGUCCUAUGGGACGAAGGAAGUGACGGUACCAUAGGAGGAAGU
This 459-nucleotide ribosomal RNA is filed under the name uncultured bacterium. Its description in RNAcentral is "bacterial SSU rRNA". It matches the Rfam family "Bacterial small subunit ribosomal RNA", at positions 28 to 491 of the family's 1533-position model. The record is from RNAcentral.